RNAcentral lists this ribosomal RNA (307 nucleotides) under uncultured bacterium. RNAcentral describes it as "partial 16S ribosomal RNA". It matches the Rfam family "Bacterial small subunit ribosomal RNA", at positions 506 to 807 of the family's 1533-position model. The record is from RNAcentral.
AGACAGCAGUAGCCGCGGGAACACGUAGGGCGCAAGCGUUAUCCGGAAUUAUUGGGCGUAAAGAGCUCGUAGGCGGUUUGUUGCGUCUGCCGUGAAAGUCCGGGGCUCAACCCCGGAUCUGCGGUGGGUACGGGCAGACUAGAGUGAUGUAGGGGAGACUGGAAUUCCUGGUGUAGCGGUGAAAUGCGCAGAUAUCAGGAGGAACACCGAUGGCGAAGGCAGGUCUCUGGGCAUUAACUGACGCUGAGGAGCGAAAGCAUGGGGAGCGAGCAGGAUUAGAUACCCGAGUAGUCCCUGUCUCUUAUAC